AUGGUGUUCAGGCGCUUUUUGGAGGUUGGUUGGAUAGCCUAUGUCUCCUUUGAACCUCAUGCUAGAAAAAUCGUGGUGAUCAUAGAUACUAUUGAUCAGAAUAAGGCUUUGGUUGGUGGACCUUGCAGUCAAGUGAGGAGACAGGCCAUGCCUUUCAAGUGCAUGAAGCUCACUGACUUCAUCCUCAAGUUUCCACAAGGUGCCGGCCAGAAAUAUGUCCAACAAGCCUGGCAGAAGGCAGACAUCAAUACAAAAUGGGCAGCCACACGAUGAGCCAAGAAGAUCGAAGCCAGAGAAAGGAAAACCAAGAUGACAGAUUUUUAUCAUUUUCAAGUUGUGAAGGCAAAGAAAAUGAGGAACAGACUCAUCAAGAAUGAAGUUAAGAAGCUUCGAAAGGCAGCUCUCCUGAAAGUUUCUCCCAAAAAAGCACCUGCUGCUAAGAGUGCUGCUGCUUCUACAGCUGCUGCUAAAGUUCUAGCAAAAAAGAUGACCGCUGAGAGCAAGAAGGCUCCAGCUCAGAAAGCCAUAGGUCAGAAGGCAGUACCCUAAAAGCUCUGAAGGGUCAAAAAGCUCCAGCCCAGAAAACACCUGCUUCAAAGGCAUCUGACAAGAAAGCAUAAGAGGCAAUUAUAAAAAGUAACAAUGGUUCCUUUUGGGAAAAAAAAAAAAAAAAAGA
This is a non-coding RNA of Callithrix jacchus (white-tufted-ear marmoset), 676 nucleotides long. NCBI's taxonomy places the organism in Eukaryota, Metazoa, Chordata, Mammalia, Primates, Cebidae. The record is from RefSeq and is a predicted model, not a curated record.